GACGAACGCUGGCGGCGUGCUUAACACAUGCAAGUCGAACGGAAAGGCCCUGCUUUUGUGGGGUGCUCGAGUGGCGAAAGGGUGAGUAACACGUGAGUAACCUGCCCUUGACUUUGGGAUAACUUCAGGAAACUGGGGCUAAUACCGGAUAGGAGCUCCUGCUGCAUGGUGGGGGUUGGAAAGUUUCGGCGGUUGGGGAUGGACUCGCGGCUUAUCAGCUUGUUGGUGGGGUAGUGGCUUACCAAGGCUUUGACGGGUAGCCGGCCUGAGAGGGUGACCGGCCACAUUGGGACUGAGAUAGGGCCCAGACUCCUACGGGAGGCAGCAGUGGGGAAUAUUGCACAAUGGGCGGAAGCCUGAUGCAGCAACGCCGCGUGCGGGAUGACGGCCUUCGGGUUGUAAACCGCUUUCGCCUGUGACGAAGCGUGAGUGACGGUAAUGGGUAAAGAAGCACCGGCUAACUACGUG
This 468-nucleotide ribosomal RNA is filed under the name uncultured bacterium. RNAcentral describes it as "partial 16S ribosomal RNA". It matches the Rfam family "Bacterial small subunit ribosomal RNA", at positions 28 to 507 of the family's 1533-position model. The record is from RNAcentral.